Gasterosteus aculeatus aculeatus (three-spined stickleback) is the source of this 103-nucleotide small nucleolar RNA. The record is from Ensembl. NCBI's taxonomy places the organism in Eukaryota, Metazoa, Chordata, Actinopteri, Perciformes, Gasterosteidae.
CUGCAGUGAUGAGCCUUAAGUGACUGAUCUGGUAUUGCUUUUUCCUUUCUUGGGGAGAGCUCUGACCAGGGAAUGAUCUCGACUUAAUCUUCUCUCUGAGCAG